CAAGCGACAUUGAAAAGAUAAGUAAUUAGCGUGUACCGUCAAAGAGAGCUACGGAUGGUGAGAAGUAGUACGGGAGGACCUGAUGAAGAUGGUCUUGGAGUCCAUUAAAUUGCAAGCAUAAGUUAGCAAUUUACGGGGGAUGCCCGAUAUAGCAUCCGAGUAUAAUUUCUCAAUUAGAGAAACGUACUUAGUGAGAGCAUCAAUGUGAAUUGAUACUGAACACAGGGUGGUAACACGCGUGAGCGUCCCUGGA
RNAcentral lists this non-coding RNA (253 nucleotides) under Lactobacillus kalixensis. RNAcentral describes it as "T-box sequence". It matches the Rfam family "T-box leader". From Rfam's summary of the family: Uncharged tRNA acts as the effector for transcription antitermination of genes in the T-box leader family. T-boxes are found upstream of many aminoacyl-tRNA synthetase genes and some amino acid biosynthetic genes usually in Gram-positive bacteria. The anticodon of a specific tRNA base pairs to a specifier sequence within the T-box motif, and the NCCA acceptor tail of the tRNA base pairs to a conserved bulge in the T-box antiterminator hairpin. Lineage: Bacteria; Bacillati; Bacillota; Bacilli; Lactobacillales; Lactobacillaceae. The record is from RNAcentral.